UGUUGGGAUGACAGGUGUGCACCACCACGCCCUGCUCAUUUUGUUUUUAAAGGAAAACUUCUUGCCCUUGAGAGAAGUUUCAAGUGGAAGUUUCAGUGGAUUCAUGAAGGGUCACCUUGGAACGCCAGGCUGAAAUGAGCCGGCCUGGCCGGGUGUGGAAGACCCACCUGGGAUGGUUGCCAACGGCAUAAAGGGAACUGGAGCGGGGAUCUGGGGCUGCUGAUUUUCCUGGAGAAGCUUAAGGUGGAUGGUUUUCCUGAGGCAACCUCGGCCUCCCCUCUCUGUCGGAGGAGGCGCUCAGGUCCUUGCUGCUGUUCCGGUCAGGGGAGCGCUGGUCUUUGCCUUAAACGUUGCUUCCUGGCCCCGGUGCAGCUGGCUCAGCCUGGCGGCACAGACUUUCUCGCUGCCACCAUGGGCCUUUGGGGCUUCCCGGUGCGGACAUCGCCCUGGGUCGCUGCUGUGGGACCCAGGCCCUCGGGUGGAGGCUUCGGGUCUCCAGUUUACGGACAGAUCUCUUGUGCUCCUCUGAGAUUGAUUUUUCCGGUGAAUAUUAUAAAGUAACCCUGUCGAUUACGUGUCCUGUAUUAAAUCUAUUCCCUUGCAAACCCUGACAACAGGAGUGUGUGCAGAUGGGUCAGGUGUAUUUGUGUUUGCUUUGAAACCACAGAAGAGGGGGAAGUGGUGUGUGGUGUGCGCCGAUUGGUUUGGCAAUCAAUGAACGUGUGAUUGUUGUGAUAUUCUGUUUCUGUGUGCUUUCAAAAUUUCCUGUUUGUUUUCCACUCGUGGCAUGGUCUCCCAUUGAUGCCCGGGCUGCCUCCAACUUCUGGCUUCCUUGCUCCUCCUGCCUCGGCUUCCUGAGGGGCUAGGACUACCGGCGUGUGAUACUGUGUGGGCUCAAAAACAGUUUUUACAAAGAGGAACUGAAGCACAGAGAGGUCAAGCAACUGGCUCAAGGUCACACAAAGGGGAGUGGGUGCCGGGCUUUCUAAAGACUUUCUUGAGAGGAUGGAAGUGACUUUCCUGACCUCCAGGGCCGCGUCCUGGCCACCAGCCCGCCGAGCCCUCCUCCUCCCAGCCCCUCCUGCAGCUCUGGAAGGGUUCUGCGCCCCGCCCCCAGGCCUCACCGGGGGACUGGACAGUGAUUGCACCCUGGCCUGGAUUGGCUGACUUGCUCCUAGGGGCAGGGUCUGGGUCGCUGGGGGCGUGGCCCGGAGGGCUCUGGCUCCCUUCUCGGCUUCCAUCAGGUGAGCCGCUGUCCCUUUGCCCAGACCCUUCCGCCAAGACUUCCUGCCUUGGAGCCAGCCAACUAUGGACUGCAAACGAGUGCUCAGGGCAUGGCUGGCCCCUGCCCUGUGGGACUCCAUGAAGAAGGGAAGAAUUACCUGCGAAGGCAAGCACCUGACUCAAGAAGGGACUUCUGUAAGACACUAGAAAGGGUCUUGCUGAGCCCUUAGGUUGCCCAGGCUGAAUCUGAAACUUGGGAUCCUCCUGCCUCAGCCUCUGAGAGUGCUGGGACAACGGGUAUGCACCACCGCAUCAAGCUUGAUCUGUGCUUUUGAAGAAAGACCUUACCCUUGAGACCCUACCUCUGCUCUCUCUCUCACCAGUGAUCUGCACUGAGGGAAUCCACAGGUAUCGUGACUCCCACCUGGGCUUUGGUGAGGCCAAGGGGGACAGGGAGGAACAGUCACAGCCUGGCCCUUAGGAGCCGUACACCCAGCCAGGGCCCAGGCUCAGAGGACAGCACAGGGUGGAGAUCUUGUCACCUUCUGGCCCAAGACCUCCCACUGCCCCGAAGGACUGGGUCAGCACCCCCCACACACAACCUCCUCGUAACUCCUGGGGAUCCAGGCAGCAGCCCCUCUGGAGGCUCAGAUGCCAGAGUCACCCCUGUGAGCAGGCCUCCGCCAGCCCACCUGUCAGCUGCCUGGAUUGGGACCGGAGCCCCAUGUGGCUGCAGCUGCAGGGAGGAGGCCGGAGCCUUGACCACUGGGGCCAGCCAUAGGCCACACACCAGGCACUGAGCAGCUCUGCACAACUCUCAGGCUGGGGAAAGGGCUCGCAGGGUCAGUGCAAUCGAUAUCUCAUCUGUAGCUCUCCUAGCGGAAGUGAUGGCUAUUGGAACGCAGUAAUGGGUGUUGUCUGCUGGAAAAGACUAAUCUUCCCAGCUGUGGAGGGCUCUGCAGGUGGCCCACGCACUGCAGGCUCGCUCUGCGGCUGUCACGGCUGCCGCUGGGGUGGGCUGGGCACUUUUAAAGCCACAGUGGCCAUGCUGCAGCCCGUGUCCACCCAGGCCUCCGGCACAGAGCCCCAGCGGCAAUCCAAGCUGGUCCCCCCAGGCACAGAUGGGGAGACUGAGGCUGGGGGCUUGCCUGAGGCCACAUGCCCAGCCAGACAAGGACCAGAGGGAAGCACCUGCCUGUGGAAACGCAGGCC
Molecule: long non-coding RNA, 2436 nt
Organism: Fukomys damarensis (Damara mole-rat)
Lineage: Eukaryota; Metazoa; Chordata; Mammalia; Rodentia; Bathyergidae
Exons: 3
Source: RefSeq, a predicted model, not a curated record